AAAAAUAAAAAAUGAAAUAAAUUUUAAGAAAAAGAAAUCUUUCUUUUAUUCUAGUAGAGAAUAAACUUAUAAAUAACUUAAACCGAAAGGGAAAAUAAUUAAAAAAAAGAAAACUAAACUGUUGUACCUUUUGUAUCAGGGUGAAAGGAAAAAAACCUAAAAUUCAGUUUUCCCGAAAAAAAAGGAUUUCUCUUUUUUCAUUUUAAAGUUGUAAUUUUAAGUGAAAUUUAAAGAGGGAAGCUAAAAGUUAGUCGGCUUUUUUAUAUCUGGUUCCCUAAUUUUUGCUAAAGGCAAACCUUAUUAGAUUAAAUUAAUUUAAAUAAGAAUAAUUUUAGGGGGAUAAGCUCCUAAAUUCAAAAAAUUGAACUGUAAAUAGACUUAUAAAAGUGAUUUAAACUAUAACAAAAAUUCGAUUUACACAAUCAUUUUAAGAAAAAAUUGGGUAGUUAGUAAAACUUAAUAAACUUUAUUAAUAAUCUUUCAAUUAGUAUGAUCUUUACUUAUAGAUUAGGAACUCGGCAAAAAGAAGUUUGCCUGUUUAAUAAAAACAACUCCUCUUGAUUAAAUAAGAGGUAAAACCUGCUCAAUGCACAAACAUGUAAAUAGCCGCAGUAUUUUGACUGUGCGAAGGUAGCAUAAUCAAUUGUCUCUUAAUUAGAGUCUAGAAUGAAUGGUUUAACAGAAUUUCAUCUUUCUUAUCUAUAAUUUCAAAAUUUUAGAUUGAAGUUAAAACGCUUCAAUUCAAGAAAGGGACGAGAAGACCCUGUAGAUCUUUACCUUCUUUCAAAGGUUUAUUUGGGAUGAAACUAGAAAUUAUUAAACUUUAGUUAAUUUAAAGGAAUCCGAUCCUACUAUUACGAUCCUCCAGGAAAAAAGGAAAAAGUUACCUCAGGGAUAACAGAAUAAUUUUAUCUUUUUAGACCUCAUAGAAAGAAAAGAUUAUUACCUCGAUGUUGAAUUAAGCUUUCCUUUAUUAGCAGAAAAAUAAGAGAGUAAGUCUGUUCGACUUUUAAAAGCUUACAUGAUUUGAGUUUAGACCGACGUAAGUCAGGUCAGAUUCUAUCUUUUCUUAUUUAUUUCUUUUUUGUACGAAAGGACUAAAAGAAAAAUAAACUCAUUAUUUUA
RNAcentral lists this ribosomal RNA (1125 nucleotides) under Megaginus tataupensis. Its description in RNAcentral is "16S ribosomal RNA". The stretch from base 746 to 1069 matches the Rfam family "Archaeal large subunit ribosomal RNA", at positions 2150 to 2716 of the family's 2987-position model. Lineage: Eukaryota; Metazoa; Arthropoda; Insecta; Psocodea; Heptapsogasteridae. The record is from RNAcentral.